RNAcentral lists this long non-coding RNA (279 nucleotides) under Nicotiana benthamiana. Its description in RNAcentral is "long non-coding RNA (NBEN_LNC042594)". The record is from RNAcentral. Lineage: Eukaryota; Viridiplantae; Streptophyta; Magnoliopsida; Solanales; Solanaceae.
UGAAAAUAACAGACUCGCCACUUCUCGAAGAAAUCUGAAAACGGCGCAUCUCCCCCAUUUUGGUUUGCUCCAUUCCUUCUUCUUCUAAUAAAUGACAAUAAACAUACCCCAAUCCCAAAAUGAGUUGCUAAGCUAAAGCAAGAACCAUCAGAUCCUUCUCUUUCUCAAGAUAAACGAUCAUCAGACCCCAUUUUAGAGAGUCGUAGCCGCUUUUUCUUUCUUUGAUGUUGCUAUAUGAAGAACAUAUCCAAAUUUUGACAGGAUAUUGUUCUGCCCGCU